RNAcentral lists this transfer RNA (74 nucleotides) under Flavobacterium sp. RNAcentral describes it as "tRNA-Trp". It matches the Rfam family "tRNA". From Rfam's summary of the family: Transfer RNA (tRNA) molecules are approximately 80 nucleotides in length. The record is from RNAcentral. Lineage: Bacteria; Pseudomonadati; Bacteroidota; Flavobacteriia; Flavobacteriales; Flavobacteriaceae.
ACGGGCGUAGUUCAAGGGUAGAAUAGUGGUCUCCAAAACCAUUGAUGGGGGUUCGAAUCCCUCCGCCCGUGCCA